AAGUUUACCGCGAAUGUUAUGAAAGAAAUUAUGAGUGUGUGUUGUUAUUAUGUGUUUAGUGUUACGUCUUAGUGGAAUUUACUGAUCACUAGUGAAAGCCACGCAAAGGAGAGUUAGUAGUGCUGUGUUUUUUUAAAUGAGAGAAGAAACAGUUUCUGAUAGUUUUCUGUCUACCAGUUUACUAUCACCCGAUACUGUCAUUGUAAAGGAGAAGCACCAUGAUUGCUGUUAGGGAUGGUUAUAAGUUCAUCGGCACUCCACAUGGGAUAUUAUUGAGGCGUCUACGCGGACCAUUAGAAGAUUUUAAAGCAGCGAAGCAUGUCUACAGCCAGUUGUGCCCCUGGAACAACGUGCGAAGUUUUGUGGACCAUUUGCUGAAAAAUAUCUGUUAUAAUAGAGAUGGACUGGUAAUUCUUAACAAGCCUUAUGGCAUAAGUGUGAAACCACCAACUAAGAAAAAUUUUUUAUCAGACUCAUAUCUGUUGAACACAGCAGUUGUGGGAGACUGCCAGGAAACUCUUUUAGAUGCCUUACCAUGCAUCGCUGAAGAAUUGGGGUAUCGCUCCCUCAGUCCAGUAAAGACCCCUGGAAGGUAUGCUAGUGGAAUCACCAUUUUAUCAGCAGAUGAGAGUGUUGCUAAAAAUGUAAGGAAGUCAAUGAAUUAUGGCAAAGUACAGGACAAAGUGAUCUACAACUAUUGGUUGGUUGUAGUAGGGCAGCCCCAACCUGAUUCCGGCUCUGAGAACAUUGGUAUCACAUUGAAAAAAGGACCUGGACAAAAGGAAUCGCAGGUGAUUCUUGAGACAAAAUGGUCAAAGAAGUCCGUGAAACGUCAGGAAAUUUUUCCUACAUUUGUAGAGUACUCCACAUUGGAAAAGGGAUCUCUUUGUAGCCUGGUAGAAUUCAAAACAUCACGCACAAAAUGGCAUUUUAUUAGGAUUUACUCAGCAUAUUUGUUGAGUCCAGUGCUAGGAGACCACCUUUAUGGCGGAAGAGUGCAGCAUGUUCUUGGUAUACCUGUAGCUAUAAGUCCCUACAGUGAUCACGCAAAGUUGCCUCAGAUCAACGAAAAAUAGAUGCGACUACAGCUUGUGACUGUUCACGAUGCGGCUGGGUAAUAGGCAGCUUAACCCGAAAGCUGCACUCAUACAGAGUAAUUCUUGUAGUAACAUUUAUUGGAUACCCAAUCAAGAGGGGGGACCCAAAAUUCAACACUCUUGGAAAAACAAGAUCCCACCCCCUAGUUUCAGAGGUUAAGUAAACAGUUAGUUGCUGCCCUGGAGCUAAAACCUGGUGAAGAUCUGAUUAUACCAGCACACAUUCACUUUAAAAGCUUGAUUUUAAGAAGUUAUGAAGGCAAAAACAAUGAUCUGAUAAUUGAUGC
RNA transcript from Schistocerca serialis cubense, 1384 nucleotides. It is a transcript of the gene named mitochondrial mRNA pseudouridine synthase RPUSD3-like, with no coding region annotated. NCBI's taxonomy places the organism in Eukaryota, Metazoa, Arthropoda, Insecta, Orthoptera, Acrididae. The record is from RefSeq and is a predicted model, not a curated record. The transcript has 6 exons.